GCGCUUAUUUCAGACAGCUCCCGGGAAGAGGCGACGUCCCUCCGGCUCCUAGGUGCAGGGGUAGCCAGGGGCUCUGCGCACUGCCCUGUAUGCAGGUGUCACCCCCGCAGCCUGAGGUGGGGGCAGCGUGCAGAGUCCCCAUGUCCACCCCUGUGCCUAGGAGCUGGAGGGACAUGCUGACCGCUUCCAGGAGCCGCACGGAGGCUGCCUGCCCUGCUGGCGCUGCGGCCAACCAGACUUUUGGUGACCUGGUCAGCUGUGGUGACCGGAGCCACCAAGGUCCCUUUUCGACCAGGUGUUCCUGUCGAAAACUAGACGCAUGGCAACCCUAUCCAGGGCCUUCCUUGCAUGGUAGAAGAUGCAUCAUAAAUUAUUGUAAUGUAGUGUAUCCUUGGUUUGGGGGAAAAUCUGUCAGAUUUACCAGUCCACCCCAUUUCUUCCCAUGAUGGUGGGUCCCUGGAGAGCCAGCACAGAUGAGCUUUCAUGUGGAAAGAAGGAGGAGCACCGUUCCCCCCAUUCUCUGUGUUCUCCGGCCAGAUCUGCACUCUGAGAAUCAGAGAUUGGGAAAUUGAGGUAGAGAGGUAAAAUGACUUGCCCAAGGUUGCAGAAGAAUACGCUGUCAGAGAUGGGGUAGAAGGACCUGAUUCCACUCCUGUUUUCCGAAGAGAGCUCUCUCUAAAUUUUGCAGCAGGAUCUAUGGCUUAGGUUCUUUUCUGCACUGAGAUCCUCUCAGCGCAAGUUGGGUGGAACUCCCUGGUUAUCAUGGUGUAUCUGCCCUAUUUCCAGUUACCUUUACAAUGGAUUCUGCCGCUCUGAUUUGUGACAGCGGGCAGUGAUUCCUGAGGUCACUGAUUUAGGUGCCUGGUUGUGGAUUUAGGAGCUUAACUUUAGGCAUCCAGUUUGGGUUAAAGUGUUUUUGUUCGCAUCUCCCAACUCCCACCUCCUCUUGUUUUCAUCAAAGCCAUACUUUGGAGAGUUGGAAAAUGGUUUGUAAUGCUGAUUGGAGCAGUAUCAUAAUAAAAUGCAAAUAUGCCUGAAGUUUGAAAACGGUCAUUGUUUCACACUAACAUAUUGUAACCAUAAAUGCUGGAGCUCUUGAAAUAAAAUGUGCCUAUAGGAGUCCUGUCUAUAUGUGUUUUGGGGGUUUGGGAAUGAGGCAGGUUUCUGUUUUCUUUGCAACUUAUCCAAUAUUUCUGAUGGGAAUAGUUCACAACUAAAGCUGUGCCUUCCUUUGGGGGAAACACACCAUUUAACUUCUCUCUUCUUUAUAUAUAUACCAAGGAACUGAUGUUUUGAUCCCCUGAGAGGCCCAUAUCUGUUCACUGCAUUUGUUCAUUUCAGGAAAAUUCUGUAGUAGCUGAAAAGAGAGUUUGCUUGGUUUAUUGUGUGUCAAACCUUUAUGCUAUAGCAAUGAAGAUAUGCAUUCACAAAUUCAAUUUUGAGGGGGGAGGAAGGGAUCAGAGAAGGAUGAUCAGGUCUUAGGGGGAAAAGAGAUUCAAUAGCUAGCAUAUCUGAAAUUAGAUUUUAGAAAUUAUUGUUUAUUUUUAAAAAGGUCUCAAGGUCUUGGGGAAAGUAGAUCAGUAGGGAGCAUAUUUAAAAUUAGAUUUAAUAAAUUACUGUAAUUUAUUACUAUUUUUAAAUCACAUGCAGCAACAUCCCUGUUUACCCUGCUUGAUAAUAGAGGAUAGCGCAUUUGUAAGUAAAACACACAAGCCUGUGAACUCAUAUCUUGGGUUGGAAACAUGAGGAUGCAAACUUUAAUGAAAUUCAGACAUUAAAAUACUCAGCGAGGCAAAGAGUGCAUGUCUACAGAAACAAAGGGAGUUAGGAUAUCAAGAAAUGUGGGCUUUGAAGCCAUUUAGCAAGGCCCUGGAUUCCAUGAUUUAUCUAAAAGCCAUGAGAUGCACCUCUUAAAAAAUGCAAAUAUCUGCAUUGCAUCUUGUAGCUGUAAUGAACAAGUCUUUCACAAAAUAGAAACAUUCAGCUAGUUCUGGGGCACUUACUGUGGCUUCAUAUGCUGUGCUGCAUGCUUGUGCCCUUUAAUCACGAUGCCUUUUGUUUUUUCAAAACUUAAAUGAGAUGCACAUGAAUGUUUAAAUGGUGUACACUCCAGUUUUGUUUUAUUUAAAAAAACAUGAUUAAAUAAGCCAAUCAAAUGCAAUCCUCUCGAAGGCUGGGGCAUGGUAAAUCAUGGAAAGCUAUGAAGCUGGCAGCCACAAAAGUAUGUAAAUUUCCUGAGCUGCUAAUCGCAUGUAGGACUACAGCUUUAGGUUACCAGAAGACCCAUGUUACCCAGUGGGGAGCAAUUUAAAACACCACAGGGUCUGUUGAGGGAGAAUGCCUGUAUGCAUGCAGAUGUAUAUUAAUGAGCUCAAGCUAAAGUUUGCUUUUCUGUAAAUUAGGGCUUAAAAGAAGGAAACAUUUUAAAGCAUUUCAUAGAUUUUCAAACUAGAUAUAGUAUGUCUCACUGGUCUUCACUAUGGGACUGAUCCAACCACUGAAGUCAACUGAAGGGUUAUUAUUAGCAUCAGUGGGCUUUAGAUCAGGCCUUAUCUUAAUAUUUUCACUGUACUAAAGUUUUUUUGCUGCGAUUAAGGGAAAGAAUAGUGAUCUGUUCAUCAAAUAAAAUCCAAAUCAGUCCAUCACCCUCAAUGAAGAUUUUUAGUAUAGGCUUACACAUAUGUGCGUGAGUGUAUAUAGAUUAUAUUUUGGUUAGUCUGGAUUGCAAGUUACAAAAGAUCUGUUUCUGACAGGAAAAAAAUAGGUAAUUAAAAGGAGUAAGAGACAAAAUGCCAGCUUGUAGAUUUGUUUCCCCUGCAGAAAUAGGCGCCCCUGUUAGAUUGCUCUUUCUUGAUCUGAUGUAACAAGAACAGAGAGUCAGCUGUGAAUCAAGCGCCUUGUUCUCAUUUCCUUGAUCAUUGACAUGGUUUGAGAGAGAGACAGGAGGAGGGAUUAUUUGUGAGGUUAUUAAAAAAAAAAAAAUCCAGCUGCCCCUCCUCCUCCCCUCUAAAAUGCAGAGAUAAUUCUAGAACGUUCCAUAAUAUGAGUUUGACGUUUCUCAUUAAAUAUCAUCCUCACUCCUUAUUUGUUAAAAAGUGCUUUUUACAAGUCACUAAGCAGAUAAUUUGAAGCUCUGAUGAGUGAAUUGCCAGUUAGCAAUUCAGUGGGAAGUACAUUUUUAUUUUAUUUUUUACCCAGCAGGCUGUGUAAUGGUUAUAGAAAUUAAAGGAUAAUUGCAUUUAAGUGAAUUUAUGCUUUUACAAUCCCACUGUUACUGUUAUUAGAAUAUUUACCACUGUUGAAAAUUCUCUCUUCACGUAGACCUGCUAAUUCUUCAUUCCCAACCUCUGCUGGAAACUAGCCAUUUUGAGAGUUUUAGUUGUAUCAGAUUGACAUAAGGGCUAGUUUUUCUGGUGAUUUUAAUUAUUACCCAUUACAGUGCCUUUGCACUUAGGUUUCAUUUGCGACAGCAUUAGGUUCAUUCAUUUAAAGUUUACAUUAGAAAUGAUCAUUAAUGACUUUUUUUUCCUUUAUUUAUGGUUUCAGAUUAGGUGCUACAUAGUCCACAUUUAAAAAAAAACCUCUGAGAAAUGUCUUUCUCAUUGAGAGAUUAAAAGUAAAUUUGGUAGUGUACGACGUUUAGUUUCUGUACAUGGCAAUAUACUUCUGCAAUAUAUAAAAAUUGCUGAUGUGUAAAAGUGCUUCGUAAUACUUGUAAAACAGACUUUUAUUCCUAACGAAGAGCUCUACUGGAGAGUAUCUUAACACAGAUCAGAGCUAGUCAGAGCAUAGAGAGCCAUUAUACCUAAAUACAAAGGCUCAUUCAUUAUUUGUUGGGUGUUUGUUGUCUCUCUUAAUUAAAGACAUGCUGGAAAAAAAGGUUUUACAACCUCUUUAGUUUAAGAAGAGAAGACUCAGAAAUAGUGAGCCAUUUUAAUUAAUUGAUUAUUUUUGUGGGGGGAGUCCCUACUCCUCUACUCCAGGCAGCAUUUGUCAUCCUUUGGCAGGAAUGACUAAUUUCCUUCGAAAUCUCCAAUCUGGAGUCAUAUAGAGUGGCUUCCAUUCCCUCCCCCACCCCCAAAAGCUUCUGGUGUUCUGUGUUUGGGGAAGGGAGGGGAGGAAGGUUAUAUGUUUCUGACCUGCUUUACUGCUUUUCAUCUGAAAGUAAAUUAAUAGACACACUAGAUUCCCCUCUACUGUGCUGAUUGGAUCCUUGUGCCGAUUAAAUAUUGCACACUGAUAGAGGGAUGCUGAAAGCACUCAGCUGGUAAUAUGGUAUGUACAUCAGUGGUACAAUAACUGACUUUCAGGUUAACGUCAAACAAAAACCCAGUUUGCUACAGUUUUGAUUAGAAUGGGUUUUUGCUUUGAAUGUAAAUCCUUGUGCCCUGCUGUAGUGAUGGCUAAUUAGCAGAGAUCUGAUAGAAAAAAUGAAUGGAUUCUUAUUUCUAAUGACAGUAAGCAGUAAGUUGUCAAAAAAAGGGGAGGGGGAGAAAACAACACACAAAAGGAGACCUUUUUUUCAAUAGCGACCAUACUUUGUGCCUCAACACACAAACCUUCCUUCCGUUGUACCUUCCUGAUCUGUUUUCUCCAAAGGGCAGUUCUUGUUUGACCAAGGAUCUGUCACGGCUCUAAAAGUUUAUUCCUGCUUUCCAUACCCUAUGACAGUUCUGUCAGGGUGUUUUUGGAUCUAUAUUCAAGUUCUCAUCAGAUUUUUCUUUUUCCUGCUGAUGAAUGCUAGGAGCCAGGAGACAAUUCCAGUGAAGUCACUACUGCUUUCCUAAGUAUCUAUCUCUUUAUCUCUCUAUCCAUAGUUCUUUCUGCCUCAUAUUUGUCUCCCUUAUGCUCUUCAGUCUCUAUCGUGGCACACUUGAGAGGGCUGUGAUUGGCUCUUGCUUUGUGGAUCAGUAAGCAGAAAGAGUGUUAACUCCUCAGUGGUGAUGUGCUGGAGUGGGCUCCCUGGGGCCCCGUGGUAAAAUUGCAACACCAAAUUAAAGGGAAGGUUGGAUGAUCUCCUGCCUCUGAUGGAGUUCACCCUCACUCUCUGGAUGCUGUUAAAUCAUCCCUCCCAGUGAUGACCUAUCCUUGGGGUUCAUUAAAAAUACUUCUGUAGUGCAAUUCCCCCCCACCCCUUUAGAAUGAACCAGAUUGCACCAAAAUGGCAGGUUGUUUAAAAAAUCAAAUGGGAAGGAGAGGCUAUCCCAGACUCACCUACAAAUGCCAUUACCCCAGUUCAAAUUACAGAAAUUGGACAAAGUGCUAUAUUAUCAAUAAACUAUGGUUCAGGAACAGAGUGUAAAAUGUUCCCAUCAAAGUUAUGGAUAUGACAGAGCAUUUUUAAUAAUGGGGAAACCAAAUAGAUCCUUCAGUUCCUCACCCUUCCACUCUGUGAGGACAGCAGCCCUUGGUAUUUGGGGUUGUUCACAGGCACAGAGGAUAUAUUUUUAUGGGAGCCCGUUGUUGAAAUAUUGGUAGCACAUCAUCAAUCCCACCUAAGGCCCUAUUCCUGCAAAUACUUGCAUAGAUGUAUACAUCUAUUCAUGGGAGUAGCCCUAUUCACUUCUCUCGGCCCUGAUCUACACUAGGACUUUAGGUCAAAUUUAGCAGCAUUAAGUCGAUGUAAACCUGCACCCGUCCACACGAUGAAGCCCUUUAUUUCGAAUUAAAGGGCUCUUAAAAUCGAUUUCCUUACUCCACCCCUGACAAGUGGAUUAGCGCUUAAAUCGGCCUUGCCAGGUCAAAUUUGGGGUACUGUGGACACAAUUCAACGGUAUUGGCCUCCGGGAGCUAUCCCAGAGUGCUCCAUUGUGACUGCUCUGGACAGCACUCUCAACUCAGAUGCAUGAUUGCCAUUGCUCUGACGCAGGGAGGGGCGACUGACGACAUGGCUUACAGGGUUGGCUUACAGGGAGUUAAAAUCAACAAAGGGGGUGGCUUUACAUCAAGGAGUAUUUCAGGCAGGACUUCACGGAGGGUUCCAAUAAGAAACGGUGCACCUAAGUUAUUGUUCUUAUUGGAACAAGCAGGUUGGUCUGGCCUCUGAUUGAUACAUGACUAGAUUUACCUUGCUGCACCUUCUCUGUGAGUGACUGCAGUGUGACCUAGAGGAAUGAGUCCCCUAGAUGGGGGGCGGGGUUUGCAAAUGAGUACAAAACAAAUCUGGUCUAUUUCUUGUUUUGAUACACUCUAUGUUUUACAUCUUUGACUGGCAGCAGAUGGUGCAGAAGGACUACAUGCCAUCCACAUCUCAUGGCUACUCGGCAGAAGAUGGUACAAUAGGACUGCUAGCCAUCCUCAUCUCUUGCCUGCCCGGCAGAAGAUGGUACAAGAGGACUGCUAGCAAUCCGUAUCGCCUGCCUGCUCACCAUAAGAUGGUUCAAUAGGACUGACUGCAGUACUAAAGAGAAUGACCUGAUCAAGUCACUCCAAAUUUAGUCCCUGCGCCCAUGUCUGCCCAGGCGCUCCUGAUCGACCUCACAGAGGCGACCAGGAGCACCUCGGACAUGACGAUGACGGCUACCAGUCCUACUGUACCGUCUGCUGCCAUAAGGCAAGGCGUUGCUGCUGCUGUGUAGCAAUGCAGUAACACAUCUGCCAGCACCCAGGAGACAUACGGUGACGGUUACCUGAGCGGGCUCCAUGCUUGCCGUGAUAUGGCGUCUGCACAGGUAACUCAAGAAGAAAGGCGCAAAACGAUUGUCUGCUCUUUCUUUCAUGGAGGGAGGGAGGCAACGGGGGCCUGACGAUAUGUACCCAGAACCACCCGCGACAAUGUUUUAGCCCCAUCAGGCAUUGGGAUCUCAACCCAGAAUUCCAAUGGGCAGCGGAGACUGCAGGAACUGUGGGAUAGCUACCCACAGUGCAACACUCCAGAAGUCAACGCUUGCCUCGGUACUGUGGAAGCACUCCACCAAGUUAAUGCACUUAAUGCACUUAGAGCAUUUUCUGUGGGGACACACACACUCGAAUAUAUAAAACCGAUUUCUAAAAAAACAACUUCUAUAAAUUCGACCUAAUUUCAUAAUGUAGACAUACCCUAGGGCUACUUCUUUUCGUAAAGUUAUGUAGGAUCAUAAGUGUUGGCAGAUCAAGGCCCAAAUGAAUAAGGGUCAUUGCUCACAGCUGGGUAUCAAAAAUGGCAAUUGGAAACACAUUGAAAAGCAUAUGAAAAUGCAUACUGUUACCAAAACCACAAAUCUUGAAACAUCCCAUAUACUGUGGUUAUUGCCAGAAUAAGCAUGUGCUUGUGGUCUGUCACUGUUAGAAUAUUAAAGAGUCAAUUGUUCAACUGAGUUUUAUUGUGAGAACUGAGUAAAUUAACAGAGGUCAAGACCCUCCUCUCUGAGGGAAUCUCUAUUCAGCUAUCUCACAUGCAGUGCCUUAGGUUUGUGGCAAAUAUUAAAUUAUUAAUUGGUAGGCCUUCGCUUUGGUUUUAUAAUAGGUUACCAUUCUUCUGAGAGCUUGACAAACUCUCAUACGCAACAUUUUUCCUUCUAGGCCAGCUCAGGAAAAUAAUAGAUGUUGCUCUGGAAACAAUUGCAAUUUUUCAUAGCAAAAGUGCAUUGUCAGACAAUAUCAUUCUGGAAGGAUUACUGGAACAAAGUCUACGUCUAAAGCAGAAGUGGUUACAAUAUAGACAGCAAUGGGCAGUGAAUUCUAAGUCCCUUUUAUACAGGUCACAUCUUAGUUUGGAAACAUUAAGGUUUGUUGGCAGGCUUGUUGUAUCAGUUUAAAGUCACUGCCAUAGGGGAAGAUAAUCAGUAGCACAGUAUAUGUUUUAGAAUUUGAUCACAUUCUUAUUUAACAAUCUGCAUAGGUACAUGUGUAGAUUACUAUUGAUAUACACGGCACAUCAGACCUUGUAAGGUUACCAAAAAAUGAUGUAAACUACAGCAGAGUAAAAGUGGAGAAACUGAAAUCUUAACUUACAGUGAAUGGUAAUAUCAACUCCCCAACGCGGGUGUCGGUGCAUGUUUGUUCCAGCAUCUGUACUGAGACACAAUAGCUAUUUGCUUUUGCCUGUGGCUUCCGAAAGCAGCAUUCUUCAAAUCCAUCUCUCUCCCCUAUUCCCUUUUCUUUAAUAUGAAACUCAGCAAUCUGUUUAAUAAUUAGCAUCUGAGUAGCAGGUAGGAGCCUCACUUAUUCCAAAUGUCCAGAAAUGAGAGUAAAACUCUUGCAUUCCUGUUUCCCCCACAUCCUACAAACCUUUAUGAGCACAGACCUCUGUGGAACACAAUUUUUUGCAUUUAAAAACAAACAUAAAGGGUAAAGCUAUUUUGAUACAUUUGGGAAAAAAAUAUUAGCACUGCUUUGUAUAGUUGAAAUCUAAGAAGAGGAAUCUGCCAUGUAGAAUACAGAAAAUCAUAAACAAGCAGCAGCUUUCCAGCACACUGAAGUGUGUUUGCAUGUGACUGGCAUACAUAUCUCAAACUCCAGUUUGCCUCUGGCAUCCUGCAGUGAAAAUGAAAGUUGUGCUGCUAUUGAAAAGGCGCUGCUUCAAAACUGGUGUAUUGUGGGGAGUGAUAUGUGUAGAUGAGAAGCAGUGUGCUGCUUUCCAGCAUUUAGAGCCAAUAUUUUUUUUGGCUCCCCUAUUAUGACCGUACAUGUUUUUGACUGUUAUGCCCAAAGCAUGCUUAGAUUCUUAUUAUUCAUCAUUCCAAAAGUGUCAGAGAAUAUGUUAUGCUGACUGAUUCCCAAAAUGCAGAUUUUGUCUCUUUUAGAAACAAGAAUAUUCUUAAUUAAUUUGGCAGAAAUAUAAUACAGCAAAUGUAGGUUUUGUUGGGGAUUUUUUUAACCUCUCAUACUACACUCUAUUGUUUCUGCCAAGAUGCCUUUAUCAGCACUUCCUGGGGUAUAACAUUUAAAAAAAAGGUUCUUUAAAAAAGAAAAACCAUAUGGUUUCUAUUCUUUUACCAAAAGAAUCUAAGUGAGAUGUUUUAGUGUUAUUAGAUGCAUUUUGCAUGGAAAAUGCAAUCAGACACAAAUGAAAAAUGUCACCUCUUCCAAACAGGUGAGUUUAGCUUUCUGAAACUAAUCUUCAGUAUCUACCACUCAGAUAUGUUUCCACAUCUAGCUUCUAAAAUUCAUGCCUUUUUAAACAAAUAAUUUCAGUAUAUUCAUCAUAAGAAGUAUUGUUUUGUCCACUUAGUGGAAAUAUUUGGAAUAAGUUGGUUGGUUAUUUCAGGUUUAUGAUAGUGGCAACAUUCUUCUCUGCAUUUACGUUUCUUAAGGAUAGAAGUCAAAACUUAUCCUUAAAGGGGAAUACAAAUAUCCCUUUAACAAGGAAAAAUUCAGAGGGGUCAACCGUAAGAACCACUUAAUGUUUGCUCUGAGUUAGAAUUUAAAACAAACAACAAAACUAAUCAUGUUUCAGCUAUUUCUGGUGCAGAUAUACAAAUAGGCAUUUUCAUCAGUUUAUUAUGAAAAAUAGUGUCAGAAAGAAAUUAUUAAUAUGUCUCUCAGUGGGAUGUGUGGGUCACCAUGGAAAAUAAGGCUGAUAUUAAUGUGAAUAAAGGAACAGCUAAACAUUUUUAAUUGUACACAAUUUCUGCUUUGUAUUGUCUCUAUUCUUCCCCUUUGCAGCAAGUUGAAAAGCAAUUAUUGAGUAUUAAACUGUGUAAGGAAAGUAUCCUGCUUGCUUCUUAACUUGCUUUUGUUUCCACUGUUGUUCCAAAUACUGCAUAUCUUCAGUUUUGCUUGUUCUGUUGAAUUGAGUCAGAGAAAAUUUAAAGUAUUCUGGUACCUUUUUAAAUGUUAUAUGAGGAAAACAAUGAAUGUCCGUACGCUUAUCGUGAAAGUAUAUAGCAGAACAGCAUAUUUGUACGUUUCUGUGAUGUGAAGUUUCCUAUCCUGGCAAUCUAAAUAUUGGGAACUUCUUAGGGUAGACAUUAAAAUCCAGUUAUAAAAUAUGACAAACAAGUAAAAUGUAGAUGCAGGGGACGUAUGCUGCUCUCACUUACACUACUGGAAAUCCUGGCCCCAUUAAAGUAAAUAGCACACGGACACACAGGCAGCUGUGAAUUGAAUUGAAUAGAGUGAGGAUUUCACCUCCCCCCCACCUCUAUUUAUUUCUAAGUAACAGAUUUAUAUUGUUGUAACUGAAAGCAGAAUUUUGCCCAUGGUCUCCAUUAUGAGCUUUUCAUGAUAUAUCACAUAUGAUAUAAAAUGAAACAAUAUUACUGCAAAGCUGCAGUCUUAGUCAGAAAGCUGUAUCUUACUCUGAAUAUGAGUGAUAUAUUUAAUACAGCUAAAAUGAGAUAAAGAUGAAAACAGGUUUGACACAAGUCUCUUAUAUCCAGUACUCUGGCAACUAUAAAGGCAUGAGUAUGUCAGCAGAACAUGGAAUAGUAGAAGACAACCUGAUCCAAAAGAAAGUAGCUAUUUAUAAGUUCUCAGCAAUAUUAAUACCUUUUGACAACUGUGACAUUUUUAUAUGCCUUAAAAAGUAACAGGUUUUUUGGCUUUCACUAGAAUGCCUGACCCCAAUAGCUUGAAAAAUAAUGUAAGUUAUUUUAAAAAAUCUUAAAGAAAACACACAUUUAAAAAAAUGCGGUGACAACAUAUGGAAAAGUAAAAUGUGUAAAUCCUGGAGGAAAUCUGAAGAA
This is a long non-coding RNA of Chelonia mydas (Green sea turtle), 10607 nucleotides long. RefSeq lists it as uncharacterized. The record is from RefSeq and is a predicted model, not a curated record. The transcript has 2 exons. NCBI's taxonomy places the organism in Eukaryota, Metazoa, Chordata, Testudines, Cheloniidae.